This 499-nucleotide ribosomal RNA is filed under the name uncultured bacterium. RNAcentral describes it as "bacterial SSU rRNA". It matches the Rfam family "Bacterial small subunit ribosomal RNA", at positions 30 to 523 of the family's 1533-position model. The record is from RNAcentral.
AUUGAACGCUGGCGGAAUGCUUUACACAUGCAAGUCGAACGGCAGCACGGGGCAACCUGGUGGCGAGUGGCGAACGGGUGAGUAAUACAUCGGAACGUGCCCAAUCGUGGGGGAUAACGUAGCGAAAGUUACGCUAAUACCGCAUACGAUCUACGGAUGAAAGCGGGGGAUCGCAAGACCUCGCGCGAAUGGAGCGGCCGAUGUCAGAUUAGGUAGUUGGUGGGGUAAAGGCUCACCAAGCCAACGAUCUGUAGCUGGUCUGAGAGGACGACCAGCCACACUGGAACUGAGACACGGUCCAGACUCCUACGGGAGGCAGCAGUGGGGAAUUUUGGACAAUGGGCGCAAGCCUGAUCCAGCCAUUCCGCGUGCAGGAUGAAGGCCUCGGUUGUAACUAGCUUUUGUACGGUAACGAAACGGUACUGCCCUAAUACAGUUUGCUAAUGACGGUACCGUAAGAAUAAGACACCGGCUAACUACGUGCCAGCAGCCGCGGUAA